CGGGAUGCAGUCAGGCAGUGCCACCUCACGCCUGCAGAGGGCGCAGGCGAGACGCUGAGGGACACCGGAGUUUCUGAGCCAAACCUGCGACGAGAGAGAGAGAGAGAGAGAGAGAGAAAAGAAAAGAAGAAAAAAUACAAUUUAGGGCCAACUUGUCAACCUCCACAGAAAAACCUUCCAAAUUUGUAUCAGGAUUUCAGAUUCCCGUUGGGGAAAUCAAUCUGAGGAGACUCUGCGGCUUUACAUGAUUGUGUCUUUUCUACUAUGAACAUGAGCAUCAACAAUGCCAGAAGAGAGGCAAACACGAGGUUCUUAGAAGGCUGUGCUCCAAAGUCAUGGCCUGGUUUCUAACUGCGGUAAUAAAGCAUGCUUACAUUGGCCAAGUUGAAAUCACUGAUGAUCACAGAGCUAGGAAAACUGCUGUGAACCUCACAGGCAGGUUAAAUAAGUGUGGAGUGAUCAGCCCCAGAUUUAAUGUGCAACUCAAAGAUCUAGAAAAAUAGCAGAAUAAUUUGCUCCCAUCCAGCUAAUUUGGUUUCAUUGUACUGACAACCUCAGCUGGCAUCAUGGACCACAAAGAAGCAAGACGAAAACACACCGGAGGGAAAACCCUGGGAUUCUUUUUCUAAAAAUGUAAUACACAUUUGCAGAUAAAAUUCCUACAAUUAAAAAAAAAAUAAAAAGAACAGAUCACCAGAUCACCAUUUCCCCUCUUCAUGCCUUCUUCAGCAGACACAGCAAAUGAAUGCGCUCUUUUCACAUUGAACCUGGGGACUGCUUCUCAAUAUUGAGCCAAGGCUGCAUUAUGACUUUCAUGGAUCCUAGGGUUUUUG
Long non-coding RNA from Cebus imitator (Panamanian white-faced capuchin), 833 nucleotides. RefSeq lists it as uncharacterized. The transcript is spliced from 3 exons. Lineage: Eukaryota; Metazoa; Chordata; Mammalia; Primates; Cebidae. The record is from RefSeq and is a predicted model, not a curated record.